GUGGCAGGGCGGCGUGCUUACCAUGCAGUCGACGGUAAGGCCCUUCGGGGUACACGAGUGGCGAACGGGUGAGUAACACGUGGGUGAUCUGCCCUGCACUUUGGGAUAAGCCUGGGAAACUGGGUCUAAUACCGAAUACACCCUGCUGGUCGCAUGGCCUGGUGGGGGAAAGCUUUUGCGGUGUGGGAUGGGCCCGCGGCCUAUCAGCUUGUUGGUGGGGUGAUGGCCUACCAAGGCGACGACGGGUAGCCGGCCUGAGAGGGUGUCCGGCCACACUGGGACUGAGAUACGGCCCAGACUCCUACGGGAGGCAGCAGUGGGGAAUAUUGCACAAUGGGCGCAAGCCUGAUGCAGCGACGCCGCGUGAGGGAUGACGGCCUUCGGGUUGUAAACCUCUUUCACCAGGGACGAAGCGUGAGUGACGGUACCUGGAGAAGAAGCACCGGCCAACUACGUGCCAGCAGCCGCGGUAAUACGUAGGGUGCGAGCGUUGUCCGGAAUUACUGGGCGUAAAGAGCUCGUAGGUGGUUUGUCGCGUUGUUCGUGAAAACUCACAGCUUAACUGUGGGCGUGCGGGCGAUACGGGCAGACUGGAGUACUGCAGGGGAGACUGGAAUUCCUGGUGUAGCGGUGGAAUGCGCAGAUAUCAGGAGGAACACCGGUGGCGAAGGCGGGUCUCUGGGCAGUAACUGACGCUGAGGAGCGAAAGCGUGGGGAGCGAACAGGAUUAGAUACCCUGGUAGUCCACGCCGUAAACGGUGGGUACUAGGUGUGGGUUUCCUUCCUUGGGAUCCGUGCCGUAGCUAACGCAUUAAGUACCCCGCCUGGGGGAGUACGGCCGCAAGGCUAAAACUCAAAGAAAUUGACGGGGGCCCGCACAAGCGGCGGAGCAUGUGGAUUAAUUCGAUGCAACGCGAAGAACCUUACCUGGGUUUGACAUGCACAGGACGCCGGCAGAAGAUGUCGGUUCCCUUGUGGCCUGUGUUGCAGGUGGUGCAAUGGCUGUCGUCAGCUCGUGUCGUGAGAAUGUUUGGGUUAAGUUCCCGCAACGAAGGGCAACCCUUGUCUCAUGUUGGCAGCACCUUUUUGGUGGGGGAAUCCUGAAAAAACUGGCCGGGGUCAAUUCCGAAGAAAAAGGGGGGGGAUGACGGUCCAAGUCCUUAUGCCCCCCUUAUUGUUCAGGGGGUUUUACCAUUGGCUUCA
RNAcentral lists this ribosomal RNA (1203 nucleotides) under Mycobacterium sp. RNAcentral's name for it is "bacterial SSU rRNA". It matches the Rfam family "Bacterial small subunit ribosomal RNA", at positions 32 to 1229 of the family's 1533-position model. Lineage: Bacteria; Bacillati; Actinomycetota; Actinomycetes; Mycobacteriales; Mycobacteriaceae. The record is from RNAcentral.